Molecule: unclassified non-coding RNA, 406 nt
Filed under: Hevea brasiliensis (rubber tree)
Lineage: Eukaryota; Viridiplantae; Streptophyta; Magnoliopsida; Malpighiales; Euphorbiaceae
Source: RNAcentral
UGCUCCGGCAACCGGUGGAGUAAAGAAGCCCCACAGGUUUAGACCUGGGACUGUGGCCCUAAGAGAAAUCAGGAAGUAUCAAAAGAGCACGGAGCUUUUGAUCAGGAAGCUUCCAUUCCAGAGAUUGGUUAGGGAAAUUGCUCAAGAUUUCAAGACUGAUCUGAGAUUCCAGAGCAGUGCUGUUGCAGCCCUACAGGAGGCAGCUGAGGCAUAUUUGGUUGGGUUAUUUGAGGAUACGAACUUGUGUGCUAUUCACGCUAAGAGGGUUACUAUCAUGCCUAAGGAUAUUCAGCUGGCACGAAGGAUUAGGGGUGAGCGGGCUUAGAUCGGGGUUAUUUUGUGUUUCUUUGUGUCUUCAUUUUUAGCUUUUGUUCUAGAUCUAGAUUCUUAUGUGAUUAGGGUUUGA